Molecule: ribosomal RNA, 2903 nt
Filed under: Escherichia coli
Lineage: Bacteria; Pseudomonadati; Pseudomonadota; Gammaproteobacteria; Enterobacterales; Enterobacteriaceae
Description: bacterial LSU rRNA
Rfam family: Bacterial large subunit ribosomal RNA
Source: RNAcentral
UUAAGCGACUAAGCGUACACGGUGGAUGCCCUGGCAGUCAGAGGCGAUGAAGGACGUGCUAAUCUGCGAUAAGCGUCGGUAAGGUGAUAUGAACCGUUAUAACCGGCGAUUUCCGAAUGGGGAAACCCAGUGUGUUUCGACACACUAUCAUUAACUGAAUCCAUAGGUUAAUGAGGCGAACCGGGGGAACUGAAACAUCUAAGUACCCCGAGGAAAAGAAAUCAACCGAGAUUCCCCCAGUAGCGGCGAGCGAACGGGGAGGAGCCCAGAGCCUGAAUCAGUGUGUGUGUUAGUGGAAGCGUCUGGAAAGGCGCGCGAUACAGGGUGACAGCCCCGUACACAAAAAUGCACAUACUGUGAGCUCGAUGAGUAGGGCGGGACACGUGGUAUCCUGUCUGAAUAUGGGGGGACCAUCCUCCAAGGCUAAAUACUCCUGACUGACCGAUAGUGAACCAGUACCGUGAGGGAAAGGCGAAAAGAACCCCGGCGAGGGGAGUGAAAAAGAACCUGAAACCGUGUACGUACAAGCAGUGGGAGCCUCUUUAUGGGGUGACUGCGUACCUUUUGUAUAAUGGGUCAGCGACUUAUAUUCUGUAGCAAGGUUAACCGAAUAGGGGAGCCGAAGGGAAACCGAGUCUUAACUGGGCGUUAAGUUGCAGGGUAUAGACCCGAAACCCGGUGAUCUAGCCAUGGGCAGGUUGAAGGUUGGGUAACACUAACUGGAGGACCGAACCGACUAAUGUUGAAAAAUUAGCGGAUGACUUGUGGCUGGGGGUGAAAGGCCAAUCAAACCGGGAGAUAGCUGGUUCUCCCCGAAAGCUAUUUAGGUAGCGCCUCGUGAAUUCAUCUCCGGGGGUAGAGCACUGUUUCGGCAAGGGGGUCAUCCCGACUUACCAACCCGAUGCAAACUGCGAAUACCGGAGAAUGUUAUCACGGGAGACACACGGCGGGUGCUAACGUCCGUCGUGAAGAGGGAAACAACCCAGACCGCCAGCUAAGGUCCCAAAGUCAUGGUUAAGUGGGAAACGAUGUGGGAAGGCCCAGACAGCCAGGAUGUUGGCUUAGAAGCAGCCAUCAUUUAAAGAAAGCGUAAUAGCUCACUGGUCGAGUCGGCCUGCGCGGAAGAUGUAACGGGGCUAAACCAUGCACCGAAGCUGCGGCAGCGACGCUUAUGCGUUGUUGGGUAGGGGAGCGUUCUGUAAGCCUGUGAAGGUGUACUGUGAGGUAUGCUGGAGGUAUCAGAAGUGCGAAUGCUGACAUAAGUAACGAUAAAGCGGGUGAAAAGCCCGCUCGCCGGAAGACCAAGGGUUCCUGUCCAACGUUAAUCGGGGCAGGGUGAGUCGACCCCUAAGGCGAGGCCGAAAGGCGUAGUCGAUGGGAAACAGGUUAAUAUUCCUGUACUUGGUGUUACUGCGAAGGGGGGACGGAGAAGGCUAUGUUGGCCGGGCGACGGUUGUCCCGGUUUAAGCGUGUAGGCUGGUUUUCCAGGCAAAUCCGGAAAAUCAAGGCUGAGGCGUGAUGACGAGGCACUACGGUGCUGAAGCAACAAAUGCCCUGCUUCCAGGAAAAGCCUCUAAGCAUCAGGUAACAUCAAAUCGUACCCCAAACCGACACAGGUGGUCAGGUAGAGAAUACCAAGGCGCUUGAGAGAACUCGGGUGAAGGAACUAGGCAAAAUGGUGCCGUAACUUCGGGAGAAGGCACGCUGAUAUGUAGGUGAAGCGACUUGCUCGUGGAGCUGAAAUCAGUCGAAGAUACCAGCUGGCUGCAACUGUUUAUUAAAAACACAGCACUGUGCAAACACGAAAGUGGACGUAUACGGUGUGACGCCUGCCCGGUGCCGGAAGGUUAAUUGAUGGGGUUAGCGGUAACGCGAAGCUCUUGAUCGAAGCCCCGGUAAACGGCGGCCGUAACUAUAACGGUCCUAAGGUAGCGAAAUUCCUUGUCGGGUAAGUUCCGACCUGCACGAAUGGCGUAAUGAUGGCCAGGCUGUCUCCACCCGAGACUCAGUGAAAUUGAACUCGCUGUGAAGAUGCAGUGUACCCGCGGCAAGACGGAAAGACCCCGUGAACCUUUACUAUAGCUUGACACUGAACAUUGAGCCUUGAUGUGUAGGAUAGGUGGGAGGCUUUGAAGUGUGGACGCCAGUCUGCAUGGAGCCGGCCUUGAAAUACCACCCUUUAAUGUUUGAUGUUCUAACGUUGGCCCCUGAUCGGGGUUGCGGACAGUGUCUGGUGGGUAGUUUGACUGGGGCGGUCUCCUCCUAAAGAGUAACGGAGGAGCACGAAGGUUGGCUAAUCCUGGUCGGACAUCAGGAGGUUAGUGCAAUGGCAUAAGCCAGCUUGACUGCGAGCGUGACGGCGCGAGCAGGUGCGAAAGCAGGUCAUAGUGAUCCGGUGGUUCUGAAUGGAAGGGCCAUCGCUCAACGGAUAAAAGGUACUCCGGGGAUAACAGGCUGAUACCGCCCAAGAGUUCAUAUCGACGGCGGUGUUUGGCACCUCGAUGUCGGCUCAUCACAUCCUGGGGCUGAAGUAGGUCCCAAGGGUAUGGCUGUUCGCCAUUUAAAGUGGUACGCGAGCUGGGUUUAGAACGUCGUGAGACAGUUCGGUCCCUAUCUGCCGUGGGCGCUGGAGAACUGAGGGGGGCUGCUCCUAGUACGAGAGGACCGGAGUGGACGCAUCACUGGUGUUCGGGUUGUCAUGCCAAUGGCACUGCCCGGUAGCUAAAUGCGGAAGAGAUAAGUGCUGAAAGCAUCUAAGCACGAAACUUGCCCCGAGAUGAGUUCUCCCUGAGACUUUAAGUCUCCUGAAGGAACGUUGAAGACGACGACGUUGAUAGGCCGGGUGUGUAAGCGCAGCGAUGCGUUGAGCUAACCGGUACUAAUGAACCGUGAGGCUUAACCUU